This 834-nucleotide ribosomal RNA is filed under the name marine metagenome. RNAcentral's name for it is "bacterial SSU rRNA". It matches the Rfam family "Bacterial small subunit ribosomal RNA", at positions 159 to 1025 of the family's 1533-position model. The record is from RNAcentral.
UGUGCUAAUACCGGAUAAGUCUUUACAGAGAAAGCUUUAUGCACCAUUGGAUGAGCCUGCACUUGAUUAGUUUGUUGGUGGGGUAAUGGCCUACCAAGACUGUGAUCAAUAGCUGAUUUGAGAGGAUGAUCAGCCACAUUGGGACUGAGACACGGCCCAAACUCCUACGGGAGGCAGCAGUGGGGAAUCUUGCACAAUGGAGGAAACUCUGAUGCAGCGAUGCCGCGUGAGUGAAGAAGGCCUUUGGGUUGUAAAGCUCUUUCGUCGGGGAAGAAAAUGACUGUACCCGAAUAAGAAGGUCCGGCUAACUUCGUGCCAGCAGCCGCGGUAAUACGAAGGGACCUAGCGUAGUUCGGAAUUACUGGGCUUAAAGAGUUCGUAGGUGGUUGAAAAAGUUGGUGGUGAAAUCCCAGAGCUUAACUCUGGAACUGCCAUCAAAACUUUUCAGCUAGAGUAUGAUAGAGGAAAGUAGAAUUUCUAGUGUAGAGGUGAAAUUCGUAGAUAUUAGAAAGAAUACCAAUUGCGAAGGCAGCUUUCUGGAUCAUUACUGACACUGAGGAACGAAAGCAUGGGUAGCGAAGAGGAUUAGAUACCCUCGUAGUCCAUGCCGUAAACGAUGUGUGUUAGACGUUGGAAAUUUAUUUUCAGUGUCGCAGCGAAAGCGAUAAACACACCGCCUGGGGAGUACGACCGCAAGGUUAAAACUCAAAUGAAUUGACGGGGACCCGCACAAGUAGUGGAGCAUGUGGUUUAAUUCGAAGAUACGCGCAGAACCUUACCAACACUUGACAUGUUCGUCGCGACUCUAAGAGAUUAGAGUUUUCGGUUCGGCCG